CUACGGGUGGCAGCAGCUAAGAAUAUUCCGCAAUGGACGAAAGUCUGACGGAGCGACGCCGCGUGGAUGAGGAAGGCCGAAAGGUUGUAAAGUCCUUUUGUCGACGAAGAAUAAGUGUGGGAGGGAAUGCCCGCAUGAUGACGUUAGUCGGCGAAUAAGCCCCGGCUAAUUACGUGCCAGCAGCCGCGGUAACACGUAAGGGGCAAGCGUUGUUCGGAAUUAUUGGGCGUAAAGGGUACGUAGGCGGUUCUGUAAGCCUGACGUGAAAUGCUGGAGCUUAACUCCAGAACUGCGUUGGGAACUGUGGGACUUGAGUCAUGGAAGGGGAGUUGGAAUUCCAGGUGUAGGGGUGAAAUCUGUAGAUAUCUGGAAGAACACCGGUGGCGAAGGCGAACUCCUGGCCAAUGACUGACGCUGAGGUACGAAAGUGCGGGGAGCAAACAGGAUUAGAUACCCCCGUAGUC
Molecule: ribosomal RNA, 464 nt
Filed under: uncultured bacterium
Lineage: Bacteria
Description: partial 16S ribosomal RNA
Rfam family: Bacterial small subunit ribosomal RNA
Source: RNAcentral